The sequence is a transfer RNA, 73 nucleotides long. It matches the Rfam family "tRNA". Rfam says of the family: Transfer RNA (tRNA) molecules are approximately 80 nucleotides in length. Their secondary structure includes four short double-helical elements and three loops (D, anti-codon, and T loops). Further hydrogen bonds mediate the characteristic L-shaped molecular structure. tRNAs have two regions of fundamental functional importance: the anti-codon, which is responsible for specific mRNA codon recognition, and the 3' end, to which the tRNAs corresponding amino acid is attached (by aminoacyl-tRNA synthetases). tRNAs cope with the degeneracy of the genetic code in two manners: having more than one tRNA (with a specific anti-codon) for a particular amino acid; and 'wobble' base-pairing, i.e. permitting non-standard base-pairing at the 3rd anti-codon position. The record is from Rfam.
GGGCCUCUAGCUCAACUGGCAGAGCAGCGGACUUUUAAUCCGCGGGUUGUGGGUUCGAUCCCCACGGGGCCCA